This 253-nucleotide ribosomal RNA is filed under the name uncultured bacterium. RNAcentral's name for it is "partial 16S ribosomal RNA". It matches the Rfam family "Bacterial small subunit ribosomal RNA", at positions 524 to 776 of the family's 1533-position model. The record is from RNAcentral.
UACAGAGGUCCCAAGCGUUGUUCGGAUUCAUUGGGCGUAAAGGGGGCGUAGGCGGCGCAGUAAGUCGGGUGUGAAAUCUCGGAGCUUAACUCCGAAACUGCAUUCGAUACUGCCGUGCUUGAGGACUGGAGAGGAGACUGGAAUUUACGGUGUAGCGGUGAAAUGCGUAGAUAUUCGCAAGAACACCAGUGGCGAAGGCGGCUCACUGGCCCGGUACUGACGCUGAGGUGCGAAAGCGUGGGGAGCAAACAGG